Molecule: ribosomal RNA, 252 nt
Filed under: uncultured bacterium
Lineage: Bacteria
Description: partial 16S ribosomal RNA
Rfam family: Bacterial small subunit ribosomal RNA
Source: RNAcentral
UACGUAGGGUGCAAGCGUUGUCCGGAAUUAUUGGGCGUAAAGAGCUCGUAGGCGGCCUGUCGCGUCGGCUGUGAAAACCCGGGGCUCAACCCCGGGCCUGCAGUCGAUACGGGCAGGCUAGAGUCCGGCAGGGGAGACUGGAAUUCCUGGUGUAGCGGUGAAAUGCGCAGAUAUCAGGAGGAACACCGGUGGCGAAGGCGGGUCUCUGGGCCGGAACUGACGCUAAGGAGCGAAAGCGUGGGAGCGAACAGG